UAGGCGGACGGGGGAGUAAUGUCUGGGAAACUGCCCGAUGGAGGGGGAUAACUACUGGAAACGGUAGCUAAUACCGCAUAACGUCGCAAGACCAAAGAGGGGGACCUUCGGGCCUCUUGCCAUCGGAUGUGCCCAGAUGGGAUUAGCUAGUAGGUGGGGUAACGGCUCACCUAGGCGACGAUCCCUAGCUGGUCUGAGAGGAUGACCAGCCACACUGGAACUGAGACACGGUCCAG
Molecule: ribosomal RNA, 236 nt
Filed under: uncultured bacterium
Lineage: Bacteria
Description: partial 16S ribosomal RNA
Rfam family: Bacterial small subunit ribosomal RNA
Source: RNAcentral